This 405-nucleotide ribosomal RNA is filed under the name uncultured bacterium. Its description in RNAcentral is "bacterial SSU rRNA". It matches the Rfam family "Bacterial small subunit ribosomal RNA", at positions 29 to 424 of the family's 1533-position model. The record is from RNAcentral.
AACGAACGCUGGCGGCGCGCCUAAUACAUGCAAGUCGAGCGAGAAGACGUAGCAAUACGUUUGUAAAGCGGCGAACGGGUGAGGAAUACAUGGGUAACCUACCCUCGAGUGGGGAGUAACUAGCCGAAAGGUUAGCUAAUACCGCGUACGCUCCUUGGACUUCGGUUCAGGGAGGAAAGCGAUACCGUGGGUAUCGCGCUCUUGGAUGGGCUCAUGUCCUAUCAGCUUGUUGGUGAGGUAACGGCUCACCAAGGCUUCGACGGGUAGCUGGUCUGAGAGGACGAUCAGCCACACUGGCACUGCGACACGGGCCAGACUCCUACGGGAGGCAGCAGUAAGGAAUAUUGCGCAAUGGGCGAAAGCCUGACGCAGCGACGCCGCGUGGGGGAUGAAGGUCUUCGGAUU